Long non-coding RNA from Venturia canescens, 3438 nucleotides. RefSeq lists it as uncharacterized. The transcript is spliced from 5 exons. The record is from RefSeq and is a predicted model, not a curated record. NCBI's taxonomy places the organism in Eukaryota, Metazoa, Arthropoda, Insecta, Hymenoptera, Ichneumonidae.
UAUGGACACAUUUUUGAAUUUCUAUGUGUUAACGUAUAAGUUCACAGAGAGCGUGACUGCUAAAAAAAAAAUAAAUUUCGCCAAGUUCUGCCGCCCCUCAAAUUUAGUCGCCCUAGGCCGGGGCCUAUUUGGCCUAUCGAGAAACCCGCCCCUGGUUGAUAUAGUUCUAAGAAGUACACGAGAAUUGAGAGUUCGAGGGGCAUCCGCGGUCGCGGCGAUGUAAAAAUUUGACAUUUUACAUUUCGAGGUUACGUUCGGGUUCAUCAGCUGACCCAGCUGACUGCAACACUCAACUAAAAGCACACGGUGCUCUCGUAGACCAGCUGAUGAGCGAAACGCGGGCAUGCUGGCUUCGUAAUCCUGCAUUUUGCUCCAGUAUUUUUCGCCUACGUUUUCGUUCCUGUAAAUGCACGACCAUCGAUUUCCUCGAAUGCUUUUUCAAAAUUUCACGAUUGAAAUUUUCUCAAAGAAAGACGAUAAUGAGCAAACUGCAGGAGUUUGGAGAAAACAGCUGGUAAGCUGUUCCAAAAAGGAAAUAAAAUAAAAAACUUACUUACCUUAUAUCUGAUUUUAAUCAAUCCUCAUAACAUCUUGGCUGGUGAAAAGGGAUAAAACUUUUAAUCUUUCGUACUGAUCGUUCAGUCCGGCAGUUCAUUUUAUCUGAUCGAUAGCUUGCUUGGAAAACGUUAAAAUAUAUUAGUAUAAAAAUGUAGGUCGACUGCUGUAGCUGCUGAUCAGCUGAUCCCACGUGCAUGUACAGCAUGUGCUUUGCGCAAGUGCACUGCGCAUACCCGCUGCGCACACCGGAAGUGCCUCAGUUCUAGGGACCCUAGGUGAAAUCACCUAAUUAUAAAUCAUUUAAUAUCAAUUAAAAUAUCAACUCUCGAACGAUUUUCUUUCACUCUCAAUCUCUCUCAAACGAUUCUCAAACGAUUAAAAAAAAAAUGAAACGUCUAAGUCCAUUUUUCCAGGAGAUAAAAAAAAUGGGGGCCAGCUUCACGCCAAAAAAUAAAAUCAUUUUUGCCAAAAAAAUAAUUACUCUCAAACAAUUUUUUUUUUCUCUCAUACUCUCUCUAACGACUCUCAAACGAUUUGCAUUAACGAAAGUUUAAAAUAAUUAAAUGGGGGGGCCAAGUUAACGGAGGUAGCUCUACUGAUGUAAUAAAAGGUGUGAUUGAUAUUUGGAACAAUUUCUCCAUUCCGACAAGUCGCAUUCAACACAUCAUUAAGAAAUUCGAGAAAUUUUAUGAUCAAUACAAAAAGUUUAAAAUUGAUCACAAGAAAAAAAAUAAACCACCAGCACAACAACAAAGAAUUCAGAAUUUUACACAACAGUUGGAUCAAUUAUUUGACAUAGCUAAUUGCGAAGAAACUAUACAUUUACCAGAGUAUUUACAAGUCUAUUUAACGAAAUGCCGAGAGAAAGGUACCAAUAAUAAGUGUGUACCACUUGAAUGUAUGUCAUUUGAACAGUUGACUAUUGGCAAUCAGCUAUAUGUUGCAGAAAUAACAAAUGAAAAUAAUAAUACUGGGGAAAUUGUUUCAAGUCAAAAAUCAGUUCAGUUCUCAUUGUCAGAUAUUAUUGGUAGUCAGUCGUCGAAAGGCAGUGAUUUUAAACGUGAUCAUUCGGAUUUUGAAGAUGAACUACCUGAAGUAAAAAUUAGGAAGACAUCCAUCAUAACACCUGAGCUUGUUUCGGCAUUAGACCGUAAUCAAAUCAGCACUAGAUCAGCAAUGCAUGUUAUAUCUGCAGUACUUCUCAGUCUCGGAUUAGACAUCAAUGACUAUAAUCUAAGUUAUUCAACGAUAUAUAAUGCUCGCAAAAAAUUCAGAGAAGAGAUUGUGGAGAAAAUUAAAAAUGAGCUACAACUGCCUAGAUGUUUAAUUGUCCAUUGUGGGAUGGAAAAUCAUUGCCUACUGAUUUCUGCAAAAAAAAGUAGAGCGACUUCCUAUUGCUGUCACUGGAGUAAAUACUGAUCAACUCCUAGCAGCUCCAAUGGUUAAUGAAGCAACAGGAAUCAAAGAAGCUGAAGUUGUUUUUGAAGUUUUGAACCAAUGGAAUAUCAUUGAUAGCAUAAAAGGAAUGUGUUUCGAUACUCCAGCCGUAAAUACUGGUAUUAAAAAUGGAGCAUGCACUUUGUUAAUGCAAAAAUUACAAAAGGAUUUAUUGCAUUUGGCAUGUCGGCAUCAUAUUUAUGAAAUAAUUCUAAGAAACGUGGUGGAAGUCGCUUGGCCAAUUACAUGCGGACCAAAUGUGAUGAUUUUCAAAAGAUUUCAAGACUAUUGGGAUAAAAUAGACAUCUCUCAAUAUGAUAUUGGAAUUGAUGACCCUGAAAUAAAAAAUAUCCUGGAUGGGAUAAAGAAUGAAAAACUUUGUUUUAUUCAAAGUCAAUUAAAGAAUCAUCAACCGCGAGACGAUUAUCGUGAGAUUUUGACCCUCAGCUAUAUUUUUUUGGGUGGUAUUCCAAAUGGAGGUAUCAAAUUUCGAGCUCCAGGGGCAAAUCAUCACGCAAGAUAGCUAUCUAAAGCAUUGUAUUGUCUAAAAAUAUAUAUGUUUCGAAAACAGUUCGAAAUAUCUAAAAGCGAUGUUAAGGCACUUCGAGAAAUUUGUGUCUUCCUGAUUCUGUUUUAUAUUGAAAGAUGGUUCACAGCUCCAGAUGUGACUCAAGCUCCUUAUGGUGAUUUCAAGUUAUUUUAAAAUUUGUUAGCGUACAAAAAAAUUCAUCCUAGGAUAGCUUCGGCUGCACUUGAAAAAUUGUGUCUUCAUUUCUGGUACUUGCACGAACACCUUGCUGUUUUAGCACUAUUUGACCGAUCGGUACCACGUGAGCAAAAAUUGAAAAUGAUCGAUUCACUUAAGACCAAAAACUUUUCAAAACUUCCCGCGAAACGUAUCACAGUAAAAAAUAAGAAAGAUUAUGUUUCAUUCGCAAAAAAAGAGAUUAGUGAGUUUGUCAGUAAGGAAUCAUUAUUUAUUUUCAAGCAGUUUGAGUUAUCUUGGGACUUUAUUGACAUCGAUCCUGAGUCGUGGGAUUCGAACGAGAGUUAUAAAAAAUGUUUCGAGACAUUUAAACAAUUACAAGUUGUCAAUGACACCGCGGAGCGAGGAGUGGCAUUAAUUGAAAAGUACAAUAAUUGUUUAACUCAUGAUGAAGAACAGCGACAAUAUAUUCUCCAAAUCGUUCAAGACCACAGUAAAAAAUAUCCAUCGGGUAACAAACAAGAGUUUGUAUUACCUGAUGCUUCACUAUAAGUCUAUUAAAUGAUGUUAAAAAUUUAAGUCGCAAAAUUGAUUACGUAUUUAUGAGAAUAUUGAAUAAAAAUUUUUUCCAUUCUAAUAAUAAUUAUUAUAACUUUAUUAAUGAUAUUACUCUCAGUAGUAUAAGAAAUAAAACAAAAUGAUUUUAAAAUCUCAAUGUAUGAUUUAUUGAUUCCAUU